This 1781-nucleotide long non-coding RNA is filed under the name Amphibalanus amphitrite. RNAcentral describes it as "uncharacterized LOC122377685". The record is from RNAcentral. Lineage: Eukaryota; Metazoa; Arthropoda; Thecostraca; Balanomorpha; Balanidae.
GAUGGCGCCCGUCCUAUCCUAUCCUUUCCUGCAGCUUGUCCGUCUUCCGACCCGUUUCACAUAUCCUUCGUGCUCGUUUCCCGAUAAAACCGGCGGCUCUAGGAGCCGAAGUGCGCGUUGGAGCGGCGGGCCGCUGAACGCUUGUGCGUAGGGAUAUAGUGCGCGUGUUUUCAUUAAUUAGAUGGCGUUGUUAAUUAAUUGCUUUUGAAAUAUCAUUGGAAUAUUUGUACUAUCUCGUAGGGCACCGAUUGUGCUGGUUGUAAGCGGAUAUUGUGUUUUCCGGAAUUUCGAAUGCCGCGCUGGCAGUCACGUGACCGGUUCUGAUGUCGAGUCCGACUGCGCGGAAGGCGGUCUUUUCGUUCCCCGCCAUGAUUGGAGGCGGAUGUGUUGCGGGUGCUCCGGAUUUUGGUACCGGUGAGUGAGGUUCUAGAGGUUUGUAACUGCUGAAUCUAAUAUGGUAACUACUCAGUUGAAUUUAUGUGAUGAAUAUUUGUUUUGUUGUAUAACUUUAAUGUGAAAACCGGUUUAUAUGAGCUGAUAUGUUCGAUUCUCCGGGACAGUGGCUCGGUUGCCCCCGAUUCGGGGAGGACAAGCUGUGGAGCUUGUUUGUGGAGGCUGCCCUGGUGGCCUCGUGAGUUCGGUCGCCGUGGUCGUUUGGCAGCGCGCCAGAGACUGGAUAAGCCGUAACAAUCAAAUGAUCGAAGACGGGAUCCAGAGCGGUCCAAUACAGAUCUGUCCACGGCCAAGUCUCUGAGGUGGCCAGGUGACCGAGGGGUGGCAGGGAGCAGAUGCGGGCGAUGGUGGCGCGAGCAGUGGCCGGGGGCCAUCUGCAUCUACAGUUACGGCUUCCUUCUCCGCGCCUUCAUCUGCUGGUGAAGCCCAGUAGCGGCUUCCCUCUCUGCGCCUUCGGCUGCGUCUGGAGCUACAGUUGCUGCUUAGUCUCUGCGCCUUCAUCUGCCUCUGGAGCUGCAGCACCGGCUGCGCGCCGCGCCUUCCAGGAUUCUGCCUGAGUGGUGUGUGGCUGGCUGGCGCGGAGUGGUGUGCGGCUGGCUGGCGCAGAGUGGUGUGCGCCGGCGAGAGGCGCUGCGUGGUGUAUGCCGGCGAGAGGCGCUGAGUGGUGUGCGCCAGCGAGAGGCGCUGAGUGGUGUGCGCCAGCGAGAGGCGCUGAGUGGUGUGCGCCAGCGAGAGGCGCUGAGUGGUGUGCGCCAGCGAGAGGCGCUGCGUGGUGUGCGCCAGCGAGAGGCGCUGCGUGGUGUGCGCCAGCGAGAGGCGCUGCGUGGUGCGCGCCCUUGGUGCGUGCAGUGUAGUGUGCCCCUGGACGGGCUGAGAGGGUGCUCCCAGCGGGUGAGUGCCCCUCUGGCGGAAACAUCUUUCGCGGAGCUGCACCUUCAGCUCUGCAUCUGCUUGAGUAGCAGCGACCGCCUCUCCUCGCUGCCUGGUGCCGGCAUCCUGGUUCGGCCGGAGCUGGGAGCUGGAGGAUCUGGCCGUCUGAGGUUUGCUGCUACCUGCUGCUUCUGCUGGACUGAGUUGACUGUGGCUCGGUUGCCCCCGAUUCGGGGAGGACAAGCUGUGGAGCUUGUUUGUGGAGGCUGCCCUGGUGGCCUCGUGAGUUCGGUCGCCGUGGUCGUUUGGCAGCGCGCCAGAGACUGGAUAAGCCGGUAUGUUAUCACUAAAGAUGCUCAUUGUCUAUCUUUGCUUUGAAUUUCGAUACCUCAACGUCUGCUGUGUAUUGCUUGAUUUAUUUACUUACUUGUAGAAUGUUAAACAGAGUUCUUGGACCC